GGCAGUGAAUUAGGGACGAGUGUGGUCGCACCACGUGGCCUGCUGGCUUGGAAGGACAAGAUGGCGUUCUGCUUCUGUCUAUUCCGUUGGAAGCAGGAAGGUUUGUACAUAAGCAAAGAAACGUCCUGAGUGAGGUGCUUGUUUAACGUUAGCAGCUGAUGGCUUGCGCUUACCUACGACCGGUUUCUACGCUGACUGCAAAAGGCGCUGGUAAACGUUUGCAAUGGAAUGGGUACCGUCUCAAGUUACUGUUGAAGAUUAUACAGCAGGAGGCCACUUCACAAAUCUCAAGCUGUACUUUAGGUCAAGUUAUCAUUGUGCUUUAUUACCUUCUUUCUUUUUUAAAUGUGUGUGACUAGUGCCUCGAUGUAAUUAAAGAAAUCUUCCUAGUUUUGUUAAGAACCUUCUGAGUUGCUAAGUGCCGCCGGUCAGUAAUGUUAAGUGUUUUUUUUUUAUUUGAGUAAAACAAGUCAGGAUUUGGUAUCUCGUUAUAAAUAAUCCUUUUAAAUACUCUAAGUACCAAUAUAUGUUUCUUAAUUGAUGUCAAUAAACGAUUUCUGAAUCU
Molecule: long non-coding RNA, 565 nt
Organism: Schistocerca gregaria
Lineage: Eukaryota; Metazoa; Arthropoda; Insecta; Orthoptera; Acrididae
Exons: 3
Source: RefSeq, a predicted model, not a curated record